Molecule: ribosomal RNA, 890 nt
Filed under: uncultured Bacteroidota bacterium
Lineage: Bacteria; Pseudomonadati; Bacteroidota
Description: bacterial SSU rRNA
Rfam family: Bacterial small subunit ribosomal RNA
Source: RNAcentral
GAUGAACGCUAGCGGCAGGCCUAAUACAUGCAAGUCGAGGGGUAACAGGAAGUGCUUGCACUUCGCUGACGACCGGCGCACGGGUGAGUAUCGCGUAUACAAUCUGCCCCAUACUAGGGAAUAGCCCGAAGAAAUUUGGAUUAAUGCCCUAUAGUAUCUUUUUAAGGCAUCUUAUUAAGAUUAAAGGUUACGGUAUGAGAUGAGUAUGCGUUCUAUUAGCUAGUAGGUGUGGUAACGGCACACCUAGGCUACGAUAGAUAGGGGCCCUGAGAGGGGGACCCCCCACACUGGUACUGAGACACGGACCAGACUCCUACGGGAGGCGGCAGUAAGGAAUAUUGGUCAAUGGACGAAAGUCUGAACCAGCCAUGCCGCGUGCAGGAUGACUGCCCUAUGGGUUGUAAACUGCUUUUAUAUAGGAAGAAAAACUUUCUCGUGAGAAAGCUUGACGGUACUAUAAGAAUAAGGAUCGGCUAACUCCGUGCCAGCAGCCGCGGUAAUACGGAGGAUCCAAGCGUUAUCCGGAAUCAUUGGGUUUAAAGGGUCCGUAGGUGGACGAAUAAGUCAGAGGUGAAAUCCUGCAGCUCAACUGUAGAACUGCCUUUGAUACUGUUUGUCCUGAGUUAUUAUGAAGUGGUUAGAAUGUGUAGUGUAGCGGUGAAAUGCAUAGAUAUUACACAGAAUACCGAUUGCGAAGGCAGAUCACUAAUAAUCAACUGACACUGAUGGACGAAAGCGUGGGUAGCGAACAGGAUUAGAUACCCUGGUAGUCCACGCCGUAAACGAUGGUCACUAGCUGUUUGGACUUCGGUCUGAGUGGCUAAGCGAAAGUGAUAAGUGACCCACCUGGGGAGUACGUCCGCAAGGAUGAAACUCAAAGAAAUUGACGG